GAUGAACGCUGGCGGCGUGCCUAAUACAUGCAAGUCGAGCGAACGGACGAGAAGCUUGCUUCUCUGAUGUUAGCGGCGGACGGGUGAGUAACACGUGGAUAACCUACCUAUAAGACUGGGAUAACUUCGGGAAACCGGAGCUAAUACCGGAUAAUAUUUUGAACCGCAUGGUUCAAAAGUGAAAGACGGUCUUGCUGUCACUUAUAGAUGGAUCCGCGCUGCAUUAGCUAGUUGGUAAGGUAACGGCUUACCAAGGCAACGAUGCAUAGCCGACCUGAGAGGGUGAUCGGCCACACUGGAACUGAGACACGGUACAGACUCCUACGGGAGGCAGCAGUAGGGAAUCUUCCGCAAUGGGCGAAAGCCUGACGGAGCAACGCCGCGUGAGUGAUGAAGGUCUUCGGAUCGUAAAACUCUGUUAUUAGGGAAGAACAUAUGUGUAAGUAACUGUGCACAUCUUGACGGUACCUAAUCAGAAAGCCACGGCUAACUGCGUG
This 497-nucleotide ribosomal RNA is filed under the name uncultured bacterium. Its description in RNAcentral is "partial 16S ribosomal RNA". It matches the Rfam family "Bacterial small subunit ribosomal RNA", at positions 28 to 507 of the family's 1533-position model. The record is from RNAcentral.